Molecule: long non-coding RNA, 597 nt
Organism: Cucumis melo (muskmelon)
Lineage: Eukaryota; Viridiplantae; Streptophyta; Magnoliopsida; Cucurbitales; Cucurbitaceae
Exons: 2
Source: RefSeq, a predicted model, not a curated record
GUCCUCGUCAUCACUAAUAGAGAUCUGAGCUGACUUUGCAGUAGUUUUCUUCUUGGCAGGUGCUCUCUUGCUAGGUUCUUUCUUCUUGGCCGCUUGUACUUCCUGCACUUCAGUUUCCAUGGCUGAAACUGAAAAGUUAAAAGAGAAGCAGCAAGACGAUCUUUAAGCUCGAGGACUUCAUCAUCGUCGUCCUCGUCAGGAACUGCUGCUUUACCCUGUAGUUGUUUCCGCAGGAGAACAAAGUCAAUUUAGUUCUGAGGGGCCAAAUUGAUGGUGGGAGUUUUUAAAGGACAACUAAAAUGAAUGAGCCGAAGUGUUACCUUCUUCUUAGCAGGAGCUUUUCUUGGAGCUGCCUUGCCUUUUGGCUUCACCACCGGGUUAUUUGCUGCUAAGCGAAAAUCAUUGAGAUUAAUACUAAAACAUAAUGCAAAGAAAAUAAAACCAAAAACCUAACAAUGGAGCUUCUGAAGAGGGGUGAAUAAUGAACUUACCAACUUCCGUUGUUGUAGAACUAUAUGUUGUGUCCAUACUUUCGGUGACAGUUUCCACAUUGCUGGUUUUCUUACUGUUACGUGGAGCUUUUGGUGCAUUUCUUGA